RNAcentral lists this ribosomal RNA (466 nucleotides) under Leiurus quinquestriatus (Egyptian scorpion). RNAcentral's name for it is "partial 12S ribosomal RNA". The record is from RNAcentral. Lineage: Eukaryota; Metazoa; Arthropoda; Arachnida; Scorpiones; Buthidae.
GUUAUACCGUAAGGAUGAAGAACUUUUGUUUUAUUUUUGAAGAAAAGUUUGAAAUUUUUGUUUUAUUUUGAGGGUAAAAUNUUAANAUAAAUGUUUUUUUNUUUAUCCUNUCUUUGAAAGCUCAAAAGUGAAANUAGGAUUAGAUACCCUAUUNUUAGAGAAGAAAAAAAAAAUAGGUAGUAAUAGAAGGCUUGAAACUUAAAGAAUUUGGCGGUAUUUUAAUCUUACCAGAGGAACUUGUGUUUUAAUUCGAAAUUACUCGCUAUAUCUUACUUGAAUUUAGUUUGUAUAUCGUCGUAAAAAUAAAACUUUGAAGUAUAUAUUUAAAAUUAUUUGAUAAAAAAUUACAGAUCAAGGUUCAGCUUAUUUAAGGGAAACAUGAGUUACAAUAUAAUAAUAUAAACGGAUAAUUUUUUGAAAGAAGGAAUUUAAAGGUGGAUUUGGAAGUAAAUUAAAAGGAAAAAGU